Molecule: ribosomal RNA, 396 nt
Filed under: uncultured bacterium
Lineage: Bacteria
Description: partial 16S ribosomal RNA
Rfam family: Bacterial small subunit ribosomal RNA
Source: RNAcentral
AUACAGAGGGUGCGAGCGUUAAUCGGAUUUACUGGGCGUAAAGCGCGCGUAGGUGGCUAAUUAAGUCAAAUGUGAAAUCCCCGGGCUUAACUUGGGAAUUGCAUUCGAUACUGGUUAGCUAGAGUAUGGGAGAGGAUGGUAGAAUUCCAGGUGUAGCGGUGAAAUGCGUAGAGAUCUGGAGGAAUACCGAUGGCGAAGGCAGCCAUCUGGCCUAAUACUGACACUGAGGUGCGAAAGCAUGGGGAGCAAACAGGAUUAGAUACCCUGGUAGUCCAUGCCGUAAACGAUGUCUACUAGCCGUUGGGGGAUUUGAUCCUUUAGUGGCGCAGCUAACGCGAUAAGUAGACCGCCUGGGGAGUACGGUCGCAAGACUAAAACUCAAAUGAAUUGACGGGG